GGCACAGGUUUUAAGUAGGUUGGAUAAGUAGGGCCAACUGAUACUACUAAGCUAAUCUACUUCAAAUUUGUGCUC
RNAcentral lists this microRNA precursor (75 nucleotides) under Haemonchus placei. RNAcentral describes it as "mir-5928 microRNA precursor family". It matches the Rfam family "mir-5928 microRNA precursor family". The record is from Rfam by way of RNAcentral. Lineage: Eukaryota; Metazoa; Nematoda; Chromadorea; Rhabditida; Trichostrongylidae.